RNAcentral lists this ribosomal RNA (461 nucleotides) under uncultured bacterium. Its description in RNAcentral is "bacterial SSU rRNA". It matches the Rfam family "Bacterial small subunit ribosomal RNA", at positions 28 to 526 of the family's 1533-position model. The record is from RNAcentral.
GAUGAACGCUGGCGGCGUGCCUAAUACAUGCAAGUCGAGCGGUAAGGCCUCUUCGGAGGUACACGAGCGGCGGACGGCUGAGUAACACGUAGGAACGUACCCCAAACUGAGGGAUAACUGCUCGAAAGAGUAGCUAAUACCGCAUGUGCUCCAAGGAGUAAAGCUACGGCGGUUUGGGAACGGCCUGCGUCCGAUUAGCUUGUUGGUGAGGUAAUGGCUCACCAAGGCGACGAUCGGUAGCUGGUCUGAGAGGAUGAUCAGCCAGACUGGGACUGAGAACGGCCCAGACUCCUACGGGAGGCAGCAGUAGGGAAUUUUCCACAAUGGGGGCAACCCUGAUGGAGCAACGCCGCGUGCAGGAUGAAGGCUUUCGGGUCGUAAACUGCUUUUAUUUGUGACGAAUAUGACGGUAGCAAAUGAAUAAGGAUCGGCUAACUCCGUGCCAGCAGCCGCCGUAAAAC